Non-coding RNA from Dryococelus australis, 82 nucleotides. Lineage: Eukaryota; Metazoa; Arthropoda; Insecta; Phasmatodea; Phasmatidae. The record is from the annotation of a GenBank genome assembly.
GUCCUUGUAGCUCAAAUGGCUAGAGCAGUGCACGAGUUUAGUUUCUAAGCAACAGUUCCAGGUUCGAAUCCUGGCAAGUACG